CCUACGGGGGGCAGCAGUGAGGAAUAUUGGUCAAUGGACGAGAGUCUGAACCAGCCAAGUAGCGUGAAGGAUGACUGCCCUAUGGGUUGUAAACUUCUUUUAUAUGGGAAUAAAACGUUCCACGUGUGGGAUUUUGUAUGUACCAUAUGAAUAAGGAUCGGCUAACUCCGUGCCAGCAGCCGCGGUAAUACGGAGCAUCCGAGCGUUAUCCGGAUUUAUUGGGUUUAAAGGGAGCGUAGGUGGAUUGUUAAGUCAGUUGUGAAAGUUUGCGGCGCAACCGUAAAAUUGCAGUUGAAACUGGCAGUCUUGAGUACAGUAGAGGUGGGCGGAAUUCGUGGUGUAGCGGUGAAAUGCUUAGAUAUCACGAAGAACUCCGAUUGCGAAGGCAGUUCACUGGACUGCAACUGACACUGAGGCUCGAAAGUGUGGGUAUCAAACAGGAUUUGAUACCCUAGUAGUC
This 460-nucleotide ribosomal RNA is filed under the name uncultured bacterium. Its description in RNAcentral is "partial 16S ribosomal RNA". It matches the Rfam family "Bacterial small subunit ribosomal RNA", at positions 338 to 795 of the family's 1533-position model. The record is from RNAcentral.